GCAUUACACGUAAGUGUGACAGGGCUAUCCCGAGUGCCAUCCGCUGAGGAAGGCUUUUACCCAGUCUAGAACGCUGGGGGAAUAAGGAGAGGGCAAGUCUGGUGUCAGCCGCCGCGGUAAUACCAGCUCUCCGAGUGGUGUGGAUGUUUAUUGGGCCUAAAGCAUCCGUAGCUGGCUAAGUUAGUCCCUUGUUAAAUCCACCGAAUUAAUCGUUGGAUUGCGGGGGAUACUGCUUGGCUAGGGGACGAGAGAGGCAGACGGUAUUUUUGGGGUAGGGGUGAAAUCCUAUAAUCCCAGGAAGACCACCAGUGGCGAAGGCUGUCUGCUAGAACGCGCCCGACGGUGAGGGAUGAAAGCUGGGGGAGCGAACCGGAUUAGAUACCCGGGUAGUCCCAGCUGUAAACGAUGCAGGCUAGGUGUUUGGACGGCCACGUGCCGUUCUAGUGCCGCAGGGAAGCUGUUAAGCCUGCCGCCUGGGGAGUACGAUCGCAAGAUUGAAACUUAAAGGAAUGCGGGGGGGAACAC
RNAcentral lists this ribosomal RNA (525 nucleotides) under uncultured crenarchaeote. Its description in RNAcentral is "bacterial SSU rRNA". It matches the Rfam family "Archaeal small subunit ribosomal RNA", at positions 352 to 879 of the family's 1478-position model. The record is from RNAcentral. Lineage: Archaea; Thermoproteati; Thermoproteota.